RNAcentral lists this ribosomal RNA (506 nucleotides) under uncultured bacterium. RNAcentral describes it as "partial 16S ribosomal RNA". It matches the Rfam family "Bacterial small subunit ribosomal RNA", at positions 29 to 507 of the family's 1533-position model. The record is from RNAcentral.
ACGAACGCUGGCGGCGUGCCUAAUACAUGCAAGUCGAACGCAUUUUCUUUCACCGUAGCUUGCUACACCGAAAGAAAAUGAGUGGCGAACGGGUGAGUAACACGUGGGUAACCUGCCCAUCAGCGGGGGAUAACACUUGGAAACAGGUGCUAAUACCGCAUAAUUCCAUUUACCGCAUGGUAGAUGGGUGAAAGGCGCUUUUGCGUCACUGAUGGAUGGACCCGCGGUGCAUUAGCUAGUUGGUGGGGUAACGGCCUACCAAGGCUGCGAUGCAUAGCCGACCUGAGAGGGUGAUCGGCCACACUGGGACUGAGACACGGCCCAGACUCCUACGGGAGGCAGCAGUAGGGAAUCUUCGGCCAUAGACGCAAGGCUGACCGAGCAACGCCGCGGGAGUGAAGAAGGUUUUCGGAUCGUAAAACUCUGUUGUUAGAGAAGAACAAGGAUGAGAGUGGAAAGUUCAUCCCUUGACGGUAUCUAACCAGAAAGCCACGGCUAACUACGUG